ACUGUCUUAAUUUAAUUAAAAGUUUAAUUUAAUUUUUAAGUUAAAAAGCUUAAAUAUUUUUAAAGGACGAGAAGACCCUAUAGAGUUUUAUAUUAUUAUUUAAUAAAAAUAUUUAAUUAUUAUUUUAUUAAUUAAUAAUAUUUUAUUGGGGCGAUAAAAAAAUUUAUUUAACUUUUUUAUUUAAAUUUUCAUUAAUUUAUGAAUUUUUGAUCCUUUUGUA
RNAcentral lists this ribosomal RNA (220 nucleotides) under Macrophya sp. YI-2013c. RNAcentral describes it as "partial 16S ribosomal RNA". Lineage: Eukaryota; Metazoa; Arthropoda; Insecta; Hymenoptera; Tenthredinidae. The record is from RNAcentral.